This 936-nucleotide ribosomal RNA is filed under the name Salmonella enterica subsp. enterica serovar Agona str. 400095 14. RNAcentral describes it as "bacterial SSU rRNA". It matches the Rfam family "Bacterial small subunit ribosomal RNA", at positions 608 to 1533 of the family's 1533-position model. The record is from RNAcentral. Lineage: Bacteria; Pseudomonadati; Pseudomonadota; Gammaproteobacteria; Enterobacterales; Enterobacteriaceae.
CUCAACCUGGGAACUGCAUUCGAAACUGGCAGGCUUGAGUCUUGUAGAGGGGGUAGAAUUCCAGGUGUAGCGGUGAAAUGCGUAGAGAUCUGGAGGAAUACCGGUGGCGAAGGCGGCCCCCUGGACAAAGACUGACGCUCAGGUGCGAAAGCGUGGGGAGCAAACAGGAUUAGAUACCCUGGUAGUCCACGCCGUAAACGAUGUCUACUUGGAGGUUGUGCCCUUGAGGCGUGGCUUCCGGAGCUAACGCGUUAAGUAGACCGCCUGGGGAGUACGGCCGCAAGGUUAAAACUCAAAUGAAUUGACGGGGGCCCGCACAAGCGGUGGAGCAUGUGGUUUAAUUCGAUGCAACGCGAAGAACCUUACCUGGUCUUGACAUCCACAGAACUUUCCAGAGAUGGACUGGUGCCUUCGGGAACUGUGAGACAGGUGCUGCAUGGCUGUCGUCAGCUCGUGUUGUGAAAUGUUGGGUUAAGUCCCGCAACGAGCGCAACCCUUAUCCUUUGUUGCCAGCGGUCCGGCCGGGAACUCAAAGGAGACUGCCAGUGAUAAACUGGAGGAAGGUGGGGAUGACGUCAAGUCAUCAUGGCCCUUACGACCAGGGCUACACACGUGCUACAAUGGCGCAUACAAAGAGAAGCGACCUCGCGAGAGCAAGCGGACCUCAUAAAGUGCGUCGUAGUCCGGAUUGGAGUCUGCAACUCGACUCCAUGAAGUCGGAAUCGCUAGUAAUCGUGGAUCAGAAUGCCACGGUGAAUACGUUCCCGGGCCUUGUACACACCGCCCGUCACACCAUGGGAGUGGGUUGCAAAAGAAGUAGGUAGCUUAACCUUCGGGAGGGCGCUUACCACUUUGUGAUUCAUGACUGGGGUGAAGUCGUAACAAGGUAACCGUAGGGGAACCUGCGGUUGGAUCACCUCCUUACCUUAAAGAAGC